AUUGAACGCUGGUGGCAGGCUUAACACAUGCCAGUCGAACGGUAACAGGAAUUAGCUUGCUAAUUUGCUGACGAGUGGCGGACGGGUGAGUAAUGCUUGGGAAUCUGGCUUAUGGAGGGGGAUAACUACGGGAAACUGUAGCUAAUACCGCGUAAAAUCUUCGGAUUAAAGGGUGGGACUUUCGAGCCACCUGCCAUAAGAUGAGCCCAAGUGGGAUUAGGUAGUUGGUUAGGUAAAGGCUGACCAAGCCGACGAUCUCUAGCUGGUCUGAGAGGAUGACCAGCCACACUGGAACUGAGACACGGUCCAGACUCCUACGGUAGGCAGCAGUGGGGAAUAUUGCACAAUGGGGGGAACCCUGAUGCAGCCAUGCCGCGUGAAUGAAGAAGGCCUUCGGGUUGUAAAGUUCUUUCGGUGACGAGGAAGGUUGAUAGGUUAAUAGCCUAUCAAAUUGACGUUAAUCACAGAAGAAGCACCGGCUAACUCCGUG
RNAcentral lists this ribosomal RNA (490 nucleotides) under uncultured bacterium. RNAcentral describes it as "partial 16S ribosomal RNA". It matches the Rfam family "Bacterial small subunit ribosomal RNA", at positions 30 to 507 of the family's 1533-position model. The record is from RNAcentral.